Molecule: long non-coding RNA, 623 nt
Filed under: Equus caballus (horse)
Lineage: Eukaryota; Metazoa; Chordata; Mammalia; Perissodactyla; Equidae
Description: lncRNA (ENSECAG00000046131.1)
Source: RNAcentral
UGCGGAUGUCACCAAAACCCCAGAUGCGCAGAAUUGGUGACUAACCCCUGAACCCCUUGGCUUCAUAUGCAACUGUGCUGGAUGGGGACCAGCUCAAGGAGAAGGAGACGGCCGCUGAAGGAACUAGAGAGAACCUGGAGGAGAAAGCCCUAAUGAGGGAAAACCCAGGAAGCAGAAUUCCAGCAAUACCUUAAGGCCAGGGAAUUCUUGUGUAAACUGGAAAUUUUCCAGUCUGUGAGCCCUGUGCCAGGCCCUCCCAUAAAUCAUAGCAAGGAGGCUGUCGGCUUGGCGGAGGCGGAGGGGCCGCCGGGGAGAGCAGCGAAGCCCGGGGAAGGAGCCGGCAGGCGGCCGCGGGGGAGGACCCCGAGGAGCACCGCGUUCUCAGCACCUCCUCCCUGAGCCUCCACAAAGCGCUGGGAAAAGAAAAAGGAAAAGAAGGAGCAGCCGCGACCACAGGGCUUUCUGCCAGCAAGUCUGCAAACACCCCCAGCCCCCCACACCCCUAACCUGGGAGAGGCCCCCGAAACAGGUCAUUUUUAAAUUGAAUACGAUAUUAAUUACCGCGUGCACCAUUAACGGUUUGUGGGAUUUGACUAAUUAAUGUAAUAGUUUUUGAGUCACGC